GUUGACGGUUACCAAUACGCAUCGACCAAUAAAACGAUUUUAUUUUAAAGUAGUGCAAAAGAUGGCUGCGUUACCGUCUCCGACUCAGGUUGCAGGUAGCCACAGUCACAUAUAUGAAGCCUAUUAUAAUCUGGUGGACCCAAACGGGUUCGGUACAGUGGGAGGUAUGGAGGCGGCCAGGUUCCUAAAAAGGUCCGGCCUAAGUGACAUAGUCCUGUCCAGAAUCUGGGAUUUGUCAGAUCCGGGUGGAAGGGGCAGUUUGGACAAGGCGGGGAUGUUUGUUGCUCUAAAGUUAGUCGCUUUGGUACAGAACGGGAAGGAUUUGAGUAUUAAGCAUGUGAACGAUGAUGUUCCACCACCAAAAAUGGGCGACAUACCUUUACCCAAAACAAAACCGCCCUUGCCCACUACCACCCCCUUGAUCACCUCUUUACCACCCUCAGCAGUAGAUUGGACCAUAAAACCAACCGAGAGGGAAAAGUAUGACAAACUAUUCGACUCCUUACAGCCCACAAACGGAGUUAUUCCGGGAAACAAGGUCAAAAACGUCCUGAUGGAGUCAAAACUGCCCUUUGACACAUUGGGCAAGAUAUGGGAGUUAGCGGACCAAGACAAGGAUGGUAUGUUAAACAGGCAUGAGUUUGUUGUGGCGAUGCAUUUAGUAUAUAAAGCUUUGGAAAAAUACGCGAUCCCGAACACUUUACCCCCAGAACUGGCCCCACCGUUAAAAAGGAAAGACUCCAGUCCGCCAUCGGUGCAACCGAAUUUAAUUAGUAGUCGACCCUUGGAUAUUGUUAAACCGGAAGUCCCUCCGCCACCCAUUAUACCAGCGGUAAUAUAUAUGAAGUUGUAUAAAUGUAAAAGUGUACGAAAAGAGCACUUUUUUCAGGUGAAACCGGUUCAGUCUGUCCAACCGACUAUUCCCUGGGUGGUUAGUGCCGAUGAAAAAGCCAAAUCUGACAUGUUGUUCGUUAAAAGUGACGUGGAUAAGGACGGGUUCGUUUCCGGGGGGGAGAUUAAGGACGUUUUUUUGCGUAGUGGGGUGCCCCAGCACGUUUUGGCUCAUAUUUGGGCCUUGUGCGACAUAAAACAAACCGGAAAACUAAAUAACGAGCAGUUCGCGUUGGCGAUGUGGUUCGUAGCACGCUGCCUAAAAGGCGUAGAACCACCUCCAGCACUCACCCCGGAAAUGGUACCGCCCACUUUUAGAACCGGUAAAGCUGCCUCAGAAGGAUUAGUGGAAAACAACAACACGAGAUACUCGAACCCGGAACUGGACAUGAUCAGUAAAGACAUCGAGGUGUUGGCCAAGGAACGACUGGCCUUAGAGAGCGAUAUCGCCCAAAAAGAGGCGGACAUCAAGAUAAAAAGUGGAGAAAUUAAAAAUUUACAAAGUGAACUGGACACUUUGGCUGCCACCUUGAAACAAUUGGAAAACCAAAAAGGCGAGGCCCAAAAACGAUUGAACGACCUUAAGGCGCAGAAGGGCACGCUAGAGUUAGAACACGCAGCUAUUGACAAAGAACUCGGUUUGGCCACGGAACAGGUGGACAAACUGAGAGCACAAGCGAACGAACAAGCGGAACUGGUGGCCACCCAAGAGACCGAACUGAAGAGCAAAAAAGAGCAACUGGACGGUCUCAGGCAGGAGGAGCAGACGCUGGAGAACCAGAAGAACGACUACCUGAAGAAACUCGAGUCGCUCACGAGCAAUUUGCAGGAGACCCAAUUGAACAUAAGCCAGGUGAAGGCUCUCACCACCCAGUUACAGGAACAGACCCGGCAAAUUAACGACGCGAUCGUUUUAUGUGAGAACGCGAUCGAAAUGGGAGACGCGAGUCAGGUGCCCGAGCAGGCGUUGAGGAUCGCCGCGGAUUUCCAGGAGUAUUCCCGAUUGGCGGCAGACGGGGAGAAUAAGGAGAACGAUCCGUUCGGUAGACAAAACGGGUCGAACAGUGGGUUCGAUGACGAUCCUUUUCAAAACGAUCCGUUUAGAAGCAAAAGUGCCUCCUCAAUCGCCAACGACCCGUUUAACGAGUCUUUUAACAGCAAAAUCUCAAAUGGUGGUUUUCCCUCGGACCCGUUCAGUUCCUUCAACAGCACCCAACCGGACCCGUUUGCCAGCAGCAAUUUCGAUAAAAAUCCCGAAACACUUUCAGAGGUGGGCAAAGACCCGUUCGGAUGCGACCCGUUCGCGGUCCUACACGCGCCGACCCGCGACUCGGUGGCGGGCGACACCGCCCCCGGACGACCCGCCAGCCCCAGUCCCGCCUUGCCGCCCAAAAAGAGCAAACAGCCGCCCCCGAGACCAGCGCCUCCGCGUCCCGCCGUGCCGCCCGCCCCCAAAAAACAGGACGCCUUCGGGAGCGAACCGUUCGACGCGGUGCCGCCGCCCGCUACGGGAGGCGGUUUCGCCGAUUUUUCCAAUUUUGAAGCUAAGAUGUUACGAUCCCCCCAUCCCGGCCCGUAGAACCUUGUUCUGGUCCUUUUCCUUAUUGUUCUACACCGAUUUGGAGCCCGCAUGUUAGUUCUUUAUCAGCGAAACCGGCGGCGCCACCCCCGAAACUCGCGGACUUUGCAGACGAUCCGUUCAAGGAUUACCGCUACGAGGAUCCGUUCAACAUUAAAUUCGACGAAGAAGAAGAAGAAAAGGAUGAAGAAACACAACGCAAUAAAAAC
Molecule: unclassified non-coding RNA, 2679 nt
Filed under: Anthonomus grandis grandis
Lineage: Eukaryota; Metazoa; Arthropoda; Insecta; Coleoptera; Curculionidae
Description: epidermal growth factor receptor substrate 15-like 1
Source: RNAcentral